RNAcentral lists this ribosomal RNA (253 nucleotides) under uncultured bacterium. RNAcentral's name for it is "partial 16S ribosomal RNA". It matches the Rfam family "Bacterial small subunit ribosomal RNA", at positions 524 to 776 of the family's 1533-position model. The record is from RNAcentral.
GACGGGGGAUGCAAGUGUUAUCCGGAAUCACUGGGCGUAAAGCGUCUGCAGGUGGUUUCCUAAGUCCACUGUUAAACCUUGAGGCUCAACCUCAAAUCUGCAUUGGAAACUAGGAGACUUGAGUAUAGUAGGGGUAGAGGGAAUUUCCAGUGGAGCGGUGAAAUGCGUAGAUAUUGGAAAGAACACCGAUGGCGAAGGCACUCUACUGGGCUAUUACUGACACUCAGAGACGAGAGCUAGGGGAGCAAAUGGG